Molecule: unclassified non-coding RNA, 336 nt
Filed under: soil metagenome
Description: partial contains 5.8S ribosomal RNA, internal transcribed spacer 2, and large subunit ribosomal RNA
Rfam family: 5.8S ribosomal RNA (bases 1-120)
Source: RNAcentral
GAUGAAGAACGUAGCGAAAUGCGAUAAGUAAUGUGAAUUGCAGAAUUCAGUGAAUCAUCGAAUCUUUGAACGCACAUUGCGCCCGCCAGUAUUCUGGCGGGCAUGCCUGUUCGAGCGUCAUUUCAACCAUCAAGCCCCCGGCUUGUGUUGGGGACCUGCGGCUGCCGCAGGCCCUGAAAACCAGUGGCGGGCUCGCUGUCACACCGAGCGUAGUAGAUUUUCAUCUCGCUCAGGGCGUGCUGCGGGUUCCGGCCGUAAAAAGCCUUAUUUACCCAAGGUUGACCUCGGAUCAGGUAGGAAGACCCGCUGAACUUAAGCAUAUCGAUAAGCGGAGGA